GUGGGGAAUCUUAGACAAUGGGGGAAACCCUGAUCUAGCCAUGCCGCGUGAUCGAUGAAGGCCUUAGGGUUGUAAAGAUCUUUCAGGUGGGAAGAUAAUGACUGUACCACCAGAAGAAGCCCCGGCUAACUCCGUGCCAGCAGCCGCGGUAAUACGGAGGGGGCUAGCGUUGUUCGGAAUUACUGGGCGUAAAGCGCACGUAGGCGGAUUGGAAAGUUGGGGGUGAAAUCCCGGGGCUCAACCCCGGAACUGCCUUCAAAACUCCCAGUCUUGAGUUCGAGAGAGGUGAGUGGAAUUCCGAGUGUAGAGGUGAAAUUCGUAGAUAUCGGGAGGAACACCAGUGGCGAAGGCGGCUUCCUGGCACAAUACUGACGCUCAUGUGCGAAAGCUAGGGCAGCGAACGGGAUUAGAAACCCCAGUAGUCC
This 425-nucleotide ribosomal RNA is filed under the name uncultured bacterium. RNAcentral describes it as "partial 16S ribosomal RNA". It matches the Rfam family "Bacterial small subunit ribosomal RNA", at positions 354 to 796 of the family's 1533-position model. The record is from RNAcentral.